CUUGCUUCUCUUGAGAGCGGCGGACGGGUGAGUAAUGCCUAGGAAUCUGCCUGGUAGUGGGGGAUAACGUUCGGAAACGGACGCUAAUACCGCAUACGUCCUACGGGAGAAAGCAGGGGACCUUCGGGCCUUGCGCUAUCAGAUGAGCCUAGGUCGGAUUAGCUAGUUGGUGGGGUAAUGGCUCACCAAGGCGACGAUCCGUAACUGGUCUGAGAGGGUGAUCAGUCACACUGGAACUGAGACACGGUCCAGACUCCUACGGGAGGCAGCAGUGGGGAAUAUUGGACAAUGGGCGAAAGCCUGAUCCAGCCAUGCCGCGUGUGUGAAGAAGGUCUUCGGAUUGUAAAGCACUUUAAGUUGGGAGGAAGGGUUGUAGAUUAAUACUCUGCAAUUUUGACGUUACCGACAGAAUAAGCACCGGCUAACUCUGUGCCAGCAGCCGCGGUAAUACAGAGGGUGCAAGCGUUAAUCGGAAUUACUGGGCGUAAAGCGCGCGUAGGUGGUUUGUUAAGUUGGAUGUGAAAUCCCCGGGCUCAACCUGGGAACUGCAUUCAAAACUGACUGACUAGAGUAUGGUAGAGGGUGGUGGAAUUUCCUGUGUAGCGGUGAAAUGCGUAGAUAUUAGGGAAGGAACACCAGUGGCGAAGGCGACCACCCUGACUAAUACUGACACUGAGGUGCGAAAGCGUGGGGAGCAACAGGAUU
Molecule: ribosomal RNA, 705 nt
Filed under: uncultured bacterium
Lineage: Bacteria
Description: bacterial SSU rRNA
Rfam family: Bacterial small subunit ribosomal RNA
Source: RNAcentral